GUGCCAGCAGCCGCGGUAAUACGUAGGGGGCAAGCGUUGUCCGGAAUUAUUGGGCGUAAAGCGCGCGCAGGCGGUUAAUUAAGUUGGGUGUUUAAGCCCGGGGCUCAACCCCGGUUCGCAUCCAAAACUGGUUGACUUGAGUGUAGGAGAGGAAAGUGGAAUUCCACGUGUAGCGGUGAAAUGCGUAGAGAUGUGGAGGAACACCAGUGGCGAAGGCGACUUUCUGGCCUAUAACUGACGCUGAGGCGCGAAAGCGUGGGGAGCAAACAGGAUUAGAAACCCUCGUAGUCC
RNAcentral lists this ribosomal RNA (291 nucleotides) under uncultured bacterium. RNAcentral describes it as "partial 16S ribosomal RNA". It matches the Rfam family "Bacterial small subunit ribosomal RNA", at positions 505 to 796 of the family's 1533-position model. The record is from RNAcentral.